UGGGGUCAGACAGUGCAACAAGCUAUGGAGACGUUUGGGAGUUUUGUUAAAGCAAUUACGAGCUUCAGGGGCUAACAAGGGAAUUGGAGGCAGAGAUUAAUAAGAUGAAGAGAAGUAACUUGCCUGGUUUCUACGUUUAAGUCGCAGAGAGUUGAUGCAAUGAGAUCGUACAAAGCUGGAGCAACAAUAGCAGCAUACUUUGGAAUUGGAUGAACAACAUGGAUUCUUCACUUCAAUCCAGUGGACCUAAGUGUAUUGUUAAUCUGUCGAAUUAAGACUGCUUGGAGUAGUGGUGGCUGGUUGCUUGCUCUAUAUGAUGGAUGAGUUAUCUUUUUCUGUGUGGGCAUCAAGAAUGCCUCAGACCUUGAGAUUUGAGACACUACAGACAUGAGGUGAGGUUUUGGAGUAGGAGUUAAGAAGGUUACUGGUUUUGAACUCAUUUACCCAUAACACUUGAGGUGAGUUGAAACAAUUACCCCACCUAAAACAAAUGUUCCUUUUAGAAAUUUGAGGUGAGCUCCUUCUACUGUUUUUUCCUAAAACCCUUUAGAAAUUUGAGGUGAGACUGUAGAGCUAAACCCUUUAGAAGGAGUUUUCCCUCUUUAGAAAAAAGAGAUAAAAAUUACUUUUACAUUUAAUCAGUCACUGUGCAUGUUGUGUGAAUAAAUGUAUUAUCUUACAUUGGAAAAGAAAAGGUGGAGUAAAGUCAGAUAUAUGUUCCUAUGUAUUAGAUGGUGCUUUUGUAUAUAUGGAGUUGCAUAACAAUUACAAUUGCACUUUUGAAAUAUGACAAUAAGAUCAUCUGAUGUCAAGUGGCUUAUCAAUGCAACAUAAAUUAAAAUGUUUAGCACACUCUUAGUGUGAAAACAACUAUAUAUGUUGUAUCCAUACAGUGAUUGUAUAACUUGAUGAUGUUUGUUAGUUACUAUAAUUUUGUUCGUUUGUUAUUUAGUGUUAUUACUGGUUCCAUUCUUAUUGGGAUUCAUAUAUCUUUGUGGUUCCUGGAAAGCCUCUGAAUUGUGCAAGAUGAAGUGACCUCUUUGAAUCCAAUACAUUAUUGAAAUCAAAAGGUUUCUUGAUUAUUUUAUAUCAAUGGUUCCUUUGUAGCUAAAUUCAGUGUAAAAGAUCAGAUGUAUGCAAAGCCUCUAGGUCUGUGAACCUGCAGUGGACAAAUUGGAACUGCACUUAUUGAAACUCAGUAA
Argentina anserina (silverweed cinquefoil) is the source of this 1202-nucleotide long non-coding RNA. RefSeq lists it as uncharacterized. The transcript is spliced from 4 exons. The record is from RefSeq and is a predicted model, not a curated record. NCBI's taxonomy places the organism in Eukaryota, Viridiplantae, Streptophyta, Magnoliopsida, Rosales, Rosaceae.